Molecule: ribosomal RNA, 404 nt
Filed under: Bacillota bacterium
Lineage: Bacteria; Bacillati; Bacillota
Description: Firmicutes bacterium partial 16S ribosomal RNA
Rfam family: Bacterial small subunit ribosomal RNA
Source: RNAcentral
UCGGGAAUUUUGCGCAAUGGGCGAAAGCCUGACGCAGCAACGCCGCGUGAGGGAUGAAGGCCUUCGGGUUGUAAACCUCUUUUCUCAGGGACGAUGAUGACGGUACCUGAGGAAUAAGCCACGGCUAACUACGUGCCAGCAGCCGCGGUAAUACGUAGGUGGCGAGCGUUGUCCGGAUUUACUGGGCGUAAAGAGCACGCAGGCGGUCGUAUGAGUCGCGUGUGAAAGCCCCCGGCUCAACUGGGGAGGGUCACGCGAUACUGUUCGACUCGAAGGCAGGAGAGGGAAGCGGAAUUCCCGGUGUGGUGGUGAAAUGCGUAGAUAUCGGGAGGAACACCAGUGGCGAAGGCGGCUUCCUGGCCUGUUCUUGACGCUGAGGCGCGAAAGCUAGGGUAGCAAACGGG